This 2116-nucleotide long non-coding RNA is filed under the name Sus scrofa (pig). RNAcentral describes it as "lncRNA (ENSSSCG00035051141.1)". Lineage: Eukaryota; Metazoa; Chordata; Mammalia; Artiodactyla; Suidae. The record is from RNAcentral.
GGCGGCGAGGCCGGGGGCUGUGGACCGGCCCGCCGGGGAGGGGCCAGGGAGAGGGGGGCGGCCCCUCGGUCAGCGCGGCCCGGAGGCCAGACCCGGUGCCCAGCUCCCCAGCGGGCGCCUGCCCUGGGCUGUAGUACGGGAGCCUCGGCAGUCUCGGGCGAGAGUUUCGGGAGAGGGUCCCGAGAUCCCGCCUUGCGGGGUUCGGAACCCGGCCCUGGCCCGCGACUCGGACCUACCCCGAGCAGGGCCCCGGUGAGGCCGCGGUGCCCCCGCUUUCAGAGCCCCGCCGCGCGCGGAACCGCAGGAGCAGGACGUCCACCGGCGGUUUGCGAGCGGCGGGCUCGGGAUUCUAGGCUUCUCCUAUUGUGACUAUUUGUAGUUUGUAAGUUUUUUUCUAGUGAACACUGUGGUGUUUUUUCAUUAAGAGCGGCGAUUUUUUCAAGGCGCCUGCAGAAGUUGAGCGGCCCGGCCCCGCAGUGUGAGCGGCCCCUUUCCAGACUGCUGGACUGCGCGUUCCUGGGCCCGGGACCCGGCUCCUCCUCCCUCGGCUCCCCGGCCGGCCCCGCCCCGCCCCCGCCCAUGCCCCGCCCUCCACUCCUGACCCCGCCCCUCCCCCGGCUGCGGCGAAAAUCCGGAGUGGCGGAUUGCCCUCUGCUCCGCGGGAGCCGGCUGUGGGCUCCUGCAGGAGCGGUGCCGGGGGUGCGGCUGACGCCGCUCGGCGCUCCCUCUUCUCACUCUGUCCUGGGCGAGCCACGCGGGGCAGCGCCGCGACCCCAGCCGCCGGCCCUGCCUCAGAAGCGGGUCAGGACCCGACUGAGCAUGCUCGCCCUCCAGCGCAGCGUGGCUCGACCAGGUGGACGCUGCCGGGACCCGGGGUCGGACCGCGCAGGGGAGGCGCAGGUGCGUGGUCCGGCCGCAGGUGCAGGGGACCUGGCUGGAAGGCGGGGGAGGGGCAUCUGGCCUGCAGAACCUCGCUCCACCUCGGAUGCGCUUGAGGUGGGCAUAGGAAUUUGCUUCGAAGCCUGUAACGGAAAAGAAGACGGGAAUGGAGGGCUUACAGGGAAGAGAUUUCACAGGUUCUAGAUGAAUAAACUCAACCCAGACAGAUGCUUUCAGGCUUGCCAGCCAGCCUGUCCCAGCUCUGCGUCUCUCCAGCUUCCUUCCUAAAUCACCACCACCACCUGCCCUAGGAGUGGAGCCCUUGGGUUGGAGCCAGCUGAUUGGAUGUGAGCUCUAAGGUGAGCGUUUUGCUCAAGAACUGUAGCUGCUAGAAGGUAUAUAACAUCUCAUUCAGAUGCCAGGAAAAGAAGAAGUGGGGUGGAGAUGUUUGUGCAUCUAACGGGUGGGUGGCGGGAAUGACAAUGACAUAAAUCUCCUAAUUCCAUAAGGACGUGGGACUCUCUGCUGACUGGGUCUUAGAACACUGGUAAAUUGUUCCACAGCAGUAGAAAGGGAUGCGGGGUUUUUAGGACACAUCCUAAGGAGAUCCCAUUCUUGUCUGUAUUCCACGUGCAUGCACAGACAACAGCUAAAAGGAAAUGAUACAUGUUGGGGGUGAGGGAGCCAGUAGCUUUUAAUUCAUUCCUUAUACUUCCUGGAUUAUGUGAGAAAAAUUUAAAUAGCACAUAUUAAUUUAAUAAUCAGAUGGGGAAAAAUAGAGAUCUUAGAAGNCCUUUUUUUUUUUUUUUUUUUGGUCUUUUCUAGGGCUGCACCUGUGGCAUAUGGAGGUUCCCAGGCUUAGGGUCGAAUCGGAGCUGUGGUGGCCGGCCUAUGCCAGAGCCACCACAACACAGCAUCCGAGCUGCGUCUGCGACCUACACCACAGCCCACGGCAACGCUGGAUCCUUAACCCACUGGGCGAGGCCAGGGAUCGAACCCACAACCUCAUGGUUCCUAGUCGGAUUUGCUAACCACUAUGCCACAACAGGAACUCCAUAUCCUACAUGCCUCUAAGGACUGUGGUCGAUUGAAAUGAUGUAGCUGAUACAAAAGUGUUUUUGAAAGUUGUGCAAUGUUUUAAAGAUACAAUGUGGUGUAUUUUUCUUUUUUCGGGUUUACUUAAAUUUUAUUUAUUUAUUUAUUUUUAUUAUUAUUUUUUAAUUUUUUAAAAUAGUUA